GGAGACCACCGCUAUUGGGAUCCGAUUAAGCCAUGUGAGUCGAUUGCCGUAAGGCAAGGCGGACUGCUCAGUAACACGUGGAGAACCUGCCCUCGGGAGGGAGAUAAUCUCGGGAAACUGAGAAUAAUACCCCAUGGGUUAUGGAUGCUGGAAUGCUCCGUAACCGAAAGCUCCGGCGCCCGAGGAUGGCUCUGCGGCCUAUCAGGUAGUAGUCGGGGUAACGACCCGACUAGCCUACGACGGGUACGGGGUGUGAGAGCACUAGCCCGGAGAUGAACUCUGAGACACGAGUUCAGACCCUACGGGGUGCAGCAGGCGCGAAACCUCCGCAAUGCUCGAAAGAGCGACGGGGGGAUCUCAAGUGCCCACGCUUUGCGCGGGCUGUUUCCAUAUCUAAAAAAUAUGGAGAGUAAGAGCUGGGUAAGACGGGUGCCAGCCGCCGCGGUAAUACCUGCGGCUCUAGUGGUGGCCGCUAUUAUUGGGCCUAAAGCGUUCGUAGCCGGUCGGGUAAAUGCUUGGGUAAAUCGCGUGGCUCAACCAUGCGAAUUCCUAGUAGACUGCUCGACUAGGGACCGGGAGAAGUUGGAAGAAUUCCAGGGGUAGGGGUGAAAUCCCGUAAUCCUUGGAGGACUACCGGUAGCGAAGGCGUCCAACUAGAACGGGUCCGACGGUGAGGGACGAAGCCCUGGGGAGCGAACCGGAUUAGAUACCCGGGUAGUCCAGGGUGUAAACGAUGUGGGCUUCGCAUUGGAGGUCCCAAUGAGGGCGUCCAGUGCGGGAACGAAGGCGUUAAGCCCACCGCCUGGGAAGUACGGUCGCAAGGCUGAAACUUAA
This 834-nucleotide ribosomal RNA is filed under the name uncultured archaeon. RNAcentral describes it as "bacterial SSU rRNA". It matches the Rfam family "Archaeal small subunit ribosomal RNA", at positions 19 to 859 of the family's 1478-position model. The record is from RNAcentral.